Periconia macrospinosa is the source of this 87-nucleotide non-coding RNA. The record is from the annotation of a GenBank genome assembly. NCBI's taxonomy places the organism in Eukaryota, Fungi, Ascomycota, Dothideomycetes, Pleosporales, Periconiaceae.
GGUCGGGUAGCUCAGUUGGUUAGAGCGUGGUGCUAAUAACAUUACUUGUUAACGCCAAGGUCGUGGGUUCAAGCCCCGCUCUGACCU